This 408-nucleotide ribosomal RNA is filed under the name uncultured bacterium. Its description in RNAcentral is "partial 16S ribosomal RNA". It matches the Rfam family "Bacterial small subunit ribosomal RNA", at positions 28 to 526 of the family's 1533-position model. The record is from RNAcentral.
GAUGAACGCUGGCGGCGUGCCUAAUACAUGCAAGUCGAGCGAAGCGGCGGAUGGGUGAGCAACGCGUGGGUAACCUGCCCUUAAGUGUGAGAUACCAUUUGGAAACAGAUGCUAAUACCGGAUACUACAGGAUGGACCGGCGAUGCAUUAGCUAGGUGGUAAGGUAACGGCUUACCAAGGCGAUGAUGCAUAGCUGGUUUGAGAGGCUGAUCGGCCACACUGGGACUGAGACACGGCCCAAACUCCUACGGGAGGCAGCAGUAGGGAAUCGUCCACAAUGGACGAAAGUCUGAUGCAGCAACGCCGCGUGAGUGAAGAAGGGUUUCGGAUCGUAAAGCUCUUUUGUUCGUGAAGCGUUAAUCACCCAGAAAGUCACGGCUAACUCCGUGCCAGCAGCCGCGGUAAUUC